This 254-nucleotide ribosomal RNA is filed under the name uncultured bacterium. RNAcentral's name for it is "partial 16S ribosomal RNA". It matches the Rfam family "Bacterial small subunit ribosomal RNA", at positions 524 to 776 of the family's 1533-position model. The record is from RNAcentral.
UACGUAGGGGGCGAGCGUUACCCGGAUUUACUGGGCGUAAAGCGCGUGUAGGCGGCUGGUCAAGCGUGGUGUGAAAUCUCCGGGCUCAACCCGGAAACUGCAUUGCGAACUGACCUAGCUGGAGUGCAGGAGAGGGCAGCGGAAUUCCCGGUGUAGCGGUGAAAUGCGCAGAUAUCGGGAGGAACACCGGUGGCGAAGGCGGUUCUCUGGGCCUUACCUGACGCUGAGGAGCGAAAGCGUGGGGAGCGAACAGG